GCAUAAGUGGCUCAGUUGGUUAAGCAUCUGGCUUGGGCUCAGGUCAUAUCUCACAGUCGUGGGUUUGAACCCCGCAUUGGGCU
This 83-nucleotide transfer RNA is filed under the name Felis catus (domestic cat). It matches the Rfam family "tRNA". Rfam says of the family: Transfer RNA (tRNA) molecules are approximately 80 nucleotides in length. Their secondary structure includes four short double-helical elements and three loops (D, anti-codon, and T loops). Further hydrogen bonds mediate the characteristic L-shaped molecular structure. tRNAs have two regions of fundamental functional importance: the anti-codon, which is responsible for specific mRNA codon recognition, and the 3' end, to which the tRNAs corresponding amino acid is attached (by aminoacyl-tRNA synthetases). tRNAs cope with the degeneracy of the genetic code in two manners: having more than one tRNA (with a specific anti-codon) for a particular amino acid; and 'wobble' base-pairing, i.e. permitting non-standard base-pairing at the 3rd anti-codon position. The record is from Rfam by way of RNAcentral. Lineage: Eukaryota; Metazoa; Chordata; Mammalia; Carnivora; Felidae.